CAACAACCCAAGGUAUUUCAAAAUUGGCGUCAUUUCUUUAAAACGGUUAUAGGGGCUCAUUUGGAGACUACGAGAAACAUUUUGAAAAACAUUUUCGGCAGCAAGUUUCUAGAAUAUAUUGACAGUUGAAAAUCGAAGUUCAACUUUGAUUUUUUAAAAAUGGUCCCAUGUUUGAUCGGUGACAAGCACAUGUAAACCCUCUGGCCACAGGGGACAGUUGGACAAUGGACAUACAAGAAGACUGAAGAGAUCCUUACCCCUCGACCUACCGGAUAGAUUCAUGAGUGGUUGACAUAGCUUAGAACUGAAUGCUUGGCACUCCACAUAGCGGCUGCUGGGUCGUCAUGUGAGCGGGACUAUUUGGAUUUACAGAUAGAUAGCUUUUGUCACGAUUAACAAGCAAUUGCCAAAUGGGGACUUAGUUUGAAGCUUCUUUCACAAAAUGUACACCAAUAUGGAACAUGCCGAUUGCUAUUAGUUAUGGGGGACAACACAGCCGAAGCCAUAAGAACUUACAAAAACAAAGGGCUAAAGACACUGCACGAUUGGCUCCAGAAAUUGAAGCAGAUAGUGUACGACCUAGAGGUGUUCGGGUUCCAGACAUGGAGAAACAGGUAGGCCUGGGUAACUCAGUGAAUGUUUAGG
Long non-coding RNA from Dendroctonus ponderosae (mountain pine beetle), 645 nucleotides. RefSeq lists it as uncharacterized. The transcript is spliced from 3 exons. NCBI's taxonomy places the organism in Eukaryota, Metazoa, Arthropoda, Insecta, Coleoptera, Curculionidae. The record is from RefSeq and is a predicted model, not a curated record.